GACGAACGCUGGCGGCGUGCUUAACACAUGCAAGUCGAACGAAGAGCGAUGGAAGCUUGCUUCUAUCAAUCUUAGUGGCGAACGGGUGAGUAACGCAUAAUCAACCUGCCCUUCAGAGGGGGACAACAGUUGGAAACGACUGCUAAUACCGCAUACGAUCUAAUCUCGGCAUCGAGGAUAGAUGAAAGGUGGCCUCUACAUGUAAGCUAUCACUGAAGGAGGGGAUUGCGUCUGAUUAGCUAGUUGGAGGGGUAACGGCCCACCAAGGCGAUGAUCAGUAGCCGGUCUGAGAGGAUGAACGGCCACAUUGGGACUGAGGCACGGCCCAGACUCCUACGGGAGGCAGCAGUGGGGAAUCUUCCGCAAUGGACGAAAGUCUGACGGAGCAACGCCGCGUGAGUGAUGACGGCCUUCGGGUUGUAAAGCUCUGUUAAUCGGGACGAAAGGCCUUCUUGCGAAUAGUGAGAAGGAUUGACGGUACCGGAAUAGAAAGCCACGGCUAACUACGUG
This 510-nucleotide ribosomal RNA is filed under the name uncultured bacterium. Its description in RNAcentral is "partial 16S ribosomal RNA". It matches the Rfam family "Bacterial small subunit ribosomal RNA", at positions 28 to 507 of the family's 1533-position model. The record is from RNAcentral.